RNAcentral lists this ribosomal RNA (501 nucleotides) under uncultured Glomeromycotina. RNAcentral describes it as "partial small subunit ribosomal RNA". It matches the Rfam family "Eukaryotic small subunit ribosomal RNA", at positions 591 to 1092 of the family's 1831-position model. The record is from RNAcentral. Lineage: Eukaryota; Fungi; Glomeromycota.
CCAAUAGCGUAUAUUAAAGUUGUUGCAGUUAAAAAGCUCGUAGUUGAAUUUCGGGAUCAGUAGGUUGGUCAUGCCUCCGGUAUGUACUGGUCUCACUGGUUCCUCCUUCCUGAUGAACCGUAAUGCCAUUAAUCUGGUGUUGCGGGGAGACUGGACUGUUUCUUUGAAAAAAUUAGAGUGUUUAAAGCAGGCUUACGCUUGAAUACAUUAGCAUGGAAUAAUGAUAUAGGACGUUCGAUCCUAUUAUUGUUGGUUUCUAGGAUUGACGUAAUGAUUAAUAGGGAUAGUUGGGGGCAUUAGUAUUCAAUUGUCAGAGGUGAAAUUCUUGAAUUUAUUGAAGACUAACUACUGCGAAAGCAUUUGCCAAGGAUGUUUUCAUUAAUCAAGAACGAAAGUUAGGGGAUCGAAGACGAUCAGAUACCGUCGUAGUCUUAACCAUAAACUAUGCCGACUAGGGAUCGGAUGAUGUUAAUUUUUUAAUGACUCAUUCGGCGCCUUACG